GUCUACAGCCAUGCCACCCUGAACAAGCCCGAUCCCAUCUGAUCUCGGAAGCUAAGCCUGGUUAGUACUUGGAUGGGACACUACCUAGGAAGACCAGGUGCUGUAGGUG
This 109-nucleotide ribosomal RNA is filed under the name Pteropus alecto (black flying fox). The record is from RNAcentral. Lineage: Eukaryota; Metazoa; Chordata; Mammalia; Chiroptera; Pteropodidae.